RNAcentral lists this ribosomal RNA (747 nucleotides) under uncultured Blautia sp. RNAcentral's name for it is "bacterial SSU rRNA". It matches the Rfam family "Bacterial small subunit ribosomal RNA", at positions 28 to 776 of the family's 1533-position model. The record is from RNAcentral. Lineage: Bacteria; Bacillati; Bacillota; Clostridia; Lachnospirales; Lachnospiraceae.
GAUGAACGCUGGCGGCGUGCUUAACACAUGCAAGUCGAACGGGAAUUACUUUAUUGAAACUUCGGUCGAUUUAAUUUAAUUCUAGUGGCGGACGGGUGAGUAACGCGUGGGUAACCUGCCUUAUACAGGGGGAUAACAGUCAGAAAUGACUGCUAAUACCGCAUAAGCGCACAGAGCUGCAUGGCUCGGUGUGAAAAACUCCGGUGGUAUAAGAUGGACCCGCGUUGGAUUAGCUAGUUGGUGGGGUAACGGCCCACCAAGGCGACGAUCCAUAGCCGGCCUGAGAGGGUGAACGGCCACAUUGGGACUGAGACACGGCCCAGACUCCUACGGGAGGCAGCAGUGGGGAAUAUUGCACAAUGGGGGAAACCCUGAUGCAGCGACGCCGCGUGAAGGAAGAAGUAUCUCGGUAUGUAAACUUCUAUCAGCAGGGAAGAAAAUGACGGUACCUGACUAAGAAGCCCCGGCUAACUACGUGCCAGCAGCCGCGGUAAUACGUAGGGGGCAAGCGUUAUCCGGAUUUACUGGGUGUAAAGGGAGCGUAGACGGAUGGACAAGUCUGAUGUGAAAGGCUGGGGCUCAACCCCGGGACUGCAUUGGAAACUGCCCGUCUUGAGUGCCGGAGAGGUAAGCGGAAUUCCUAGUGUAGCGGUGAAAUGCGUAGAUAUUAGGAGGAACACCAGUGGCGAAGGCGGCUUACUGGACAGUAACUGACGUUGAGGCUCGAAAGCGUGGGGAGCAAACAGG